This 106-nucleotide transfer RNA is filed under the name Saonia flava. RNAcentral describes it as "tRNA-OTHER". It matches the Rfam family "transfer-messenger RNA", at positions 266 to 374 of the family's 374-position model. From Rfam's summary of the family: Bacterial tmRNA, also known as 10Sa RNA or SsrA, is named for its dual tRNA and mRNA-like properties. Lineage: Bacteria; Pseudomonadati; Bacteroidota; Flavobacteriia; Flavobacteriales; Flavobacteriaceae. The record is from RNAcentral.
GUUGUUUCUAAUCAGGUACACAUCGAAAAUUAAAUAGAAACUAAGCACGUAGAAAGCAUUGUAAUUGCUUGUUUGGACGAGGGUUCGAAUCCCUCCGGCUCCACCA